RNAcentral lists this ribosomal RNA (508 nucleotides) under uncultured Pseudomonas sp. RNAcentral's name for it is "bacterial SSU rRNA". It matches the Rfam family "Bacterial small subunit ribosomal RNA", at positions 903 to 1382 of the family's 1533-position model. The record is from RNAcentral. Lineage: Bacteria; Pseudomonadati; Pseudomonadota; Gammaproteobacteria; Pseudomonadales; Pseudomonadaceae.
GCGCCUUGCCAGCCCGCUCAGAAACUUAAAGGAAGUUUGACGGGGGCCCGCACAAGCGGAGGAACAUGUGGUUUAAUUCGAUGAUACGCGAGGAACCUUACCUGGGCUAGAACGCAUUCGGAAUCAGGCCGAAAGGUCUGCGCCAGCGAUGGCCGGUUGCGAGGUGCUGCAUGGUUGUCGUCAGCUCGUGUCGUGAGAUGUUGGGUUAAGUCCCGUAACGAGCGCAACCCUUGUCCUUAGUUACCAGCACGUUAUGGUGGGCACUCUAAGGAGACUGCCGGUGACAAACCGGAGGAAGGUGGGGAUGACGUCAAGUCAUCAUGGCCCUUACGGCCUGGGCUACACACGUGCUACAAUGGUCGGUACAAAGGGUUGCCAAGCCGCGAGGUGGAGCUAAUCCCAUAAAACCGAUCGUAGUCCGGAUCGCAGUCUGCAACUCGACUGCGUGAAGUCGGAAUCGCUAGUAAUCGUGAAUCAGAAUGUCACGGUGAAUACGUUCCCGGGCCUU